RNAcentral lists this long non-coding RNA (650 nucleotides) under Setaria viridis. RNAcentral describes it as "long non-coding RNA (SVIR_LNC009431)". Lineage: Eukaryota; Viridiplantae; Streptophyta; Magnoliopsida; Poales; Poaceae. The record is from RNAcentral.
UCGGAGGUGAUGAUCUAAAUACAUCUAUAAUAUAAACAAUGUUUUUCUUGUCAUCCAAUCUGUUAGCGACUCAAUGCCUCCUUCUAUGCUUUCUGUCUAUCAUGGAUAUGCUUGUUCCUAGUCUAGUUAUGGAUUAGACUAUCUAUAAUGCUUAGUGUAAUCGUGGUGAUUAGAUCUAGUAUGUCGAUCCUUCAUGAUAGUUAGACAUGUUCACUUAUGUUCGUGCCCAUAAACUGCUUGCGCUGAUAGGGGGGAUCAUGACAGGGUCUUCUUCCAUGUAAGGUGGGGCUUGUCGGGAGGUUGAUCGGUGGUAGUAGUUUAAAGAUUGCAUUGGAAGAGAUGCAUGAUGUGCUUUCUUAUUAGCUAGAUCUACAACUAGAAGAUGAUAGGCCCUUGUUACCCUUGGUUACACUAUCUUAUAUGUAUCUGUGGAUGUUAUUAACCUAUGCUCUAUCAUUCUUAUGUAUUAGGUUUACCCUUCAUAUGCAAUCUAUGCUUCAUGUUAGGAUUCUAUCGAUUAAGUUAGAUAGAAAACCAUAGUUAGUUUGCUGCCAAUCCACGGAUUGAAAAAGCUUGGAUGAAUACUCUGAGGGAAAAGCUACAACUGAUCCGUGCGCUUGUGGUUCAAACGGGCGUGCUAAGUACCGUCA